GAGCCACGCGCUGUGCUUCCCGGCGGUGCAGCGUCUGGCCUACUCUACCUGUUCAGUGCACCGAGAGGAGAACGAGGAUGUGGUGCACGCAGUGCUGCAGGAGCAGGGAUCGGCCUUCAGGCUGGUGAAUGCGUUCCCAUCCUGGCCCUGCCGAGGACUUGCUACCUUCCCAGGGGCUGAGUGCUGCCUCCGCGCCUCUCCUGCAGAUACACUCACACAGGGCUUCUUUGUGGCUGUCCUGGAGCGCUGUGGGGAGGAAACUGCUGUCCCCAGCUCCCUGCCUGCAGCCACUGAAGAGAGUCUACAACAAGAAGAGGGAGUAGAGCCAGGAGCAGCUCCUCCCAAGAAGAGGAGGAGGAAAAAGCAACGUGUGAAGAUGUGAAAGAAUUCUAGGAGUGUGCGGUGCCUUUUUGAGGCUGGUUUCUGGUGCUGGGCUGUGCUGCGGCCCUGGCGCCGAGUAACAGAAAUAAAGCUUUUCACCAGCUGCUGGCUUGGUGAGCU
RNAcentral lists this long non-coding RNA (501 nucleotides) under Chrysolophus pictus (golden pheasant). Its description in RNAcentral is "lncRNA (ENSCPIG00010003580.1)". Lineage: Eukaryota; Metazoa; Chordata; Aves; Galliformes; Phasianidae. The record is from RNAcentral.